GUUAUACCGACAACGAAGAGCUUAAAGUGAUGUCAAAAGAAGUUGAGUAUAGUCAGUUGGCUGAUGUAGCGACAAUAAGUAGUAAGUGCUGGGAACUAUGAAGUGGAAGUAUGACUACUCAGAAAACGUUAACACAAUGAUUAUUUAACUCGCAUGAAGAUUGUGAAAGAGAUUCAUGAACACAAUGAAGUUUUGAGUUUUUAUUCAUACACUUGUUAGUUUA
Long non-coding RNA from Helianthus annuus (common sunflower), 223 nucleotides. RefSeq lists it as uncharacterized. NCBI's taxonomy places the organism in Eukaryota, Viridiplantae, Streptophyta, Magnoliopsida, Asterales, Asteraceae. The transcript has 2 exons. The record is from RefSeq and is a predicted model, not a curated record.